This 374-nucleotide ribosomal RNA is filed under the name uncultured prokaryote. Its description in RNAcentral is "bacterial SSU rRNA". It matches the Rfam family "Bacterial small subunit ribosomal RNA", at positions 524 to 896 of the family's 1533-position model. The record is from RNAcentral.
UACGGAGGGUGCAAGCGUUAUUCGGAAUUACUGGGCGUAAAGCGCGUGUAGGCGGGGACGCAAGUCUGAUGUGAAAGCCCUGGGCUUAACCUGGGAAGUGCAUUGGAAACUGCGUUUCUUGAGUACUGGAGAGGAAGGGGGAAUUCCCGGUGUAGAGGUGAAAUUCGUAGAGAUCGGGAGGAAUACCAGUGGCGUAGGCGCCCUUCUGGACGGUUACUGACGCUGAGACGCGAAAGCGUGGGGAGCAAACAGGAUUAGAUACCCUGGUAGUCCACGCUGUAAACGAUGAUCACUAGGUGUAGCGGGUACUCAUUCCUGCUGUGCCGUAGCUAACGCGUUAAGUGAUCCGCCUGGGGAUUACGGUCGCAAGACUA